GGGCCUCUAGCUCAACUGGCAGAGCAGCGGACUUUUAAUCCGCGGGUUCCGGGUUCGAUCCCCGGGGGGCCCA
Molecule: transfer RNA, 73 nt
Filed under: Promicromonospora citrea
Lineage: Bacteria; Bacillati; Actinomycetota; Actinomycetes; Micrococcales; Promicromonosporaceae
Also listed under: 31 other names
Rfam family: tRNA
About the family: Transfer RNA (tRNA) molecules are approximately 80 nucleotides in length.
Source: Rfam by way of RNAcentral